CCUACGGGGGGCAGCAGUGAGGAAUAUUGGUCAAUGGGCGAGAGCCUGAACCAGCCAAGUCGCGUGAGGGAGUACUGCCCUAUGUGUUGUAAACCUCUUUUGUCGGGGAGCAAAAGCCGGACGUGUCCGGCUGUGAGAGUACCCGAAGAAAAAGCAUCGGCCAACACCGUGCCAGCAGCCGCGGUAAUACGGAGGGUGCGAGCGUUAUCCGGGUUUUUUGGGUUUAAAGGGUGCGCAGGCGGAUUUUUAAGUCAGCGGUAAAAGCGUGGGGCUCAACCCCAUCCAGCCGUUGAAACUGGGGAUCUAGAGUGUGCGAAAGGUAUGCGGAAUGCGUGGUGUAGCGGUGAAAUGCAUAGAUAUCACGCAGAACCCCGAUUGCGAAGGCAGCAUACCGGUGCACAACUGACGCUCAGGCACGAAGGCGUGGGUAUCGAACAGGAUUAGAUACCCUGGUAGUC
Molecule: ribosomal RNA, 458 nt
Filed under: uncultured bacterium
Lineage: Bacteria
Description: partial 16S ribosomal RNA
Rfam family: Bacterial small subunit ribosomal RNA
Source: RNAcentral